Molecule: ribosomal RNA, 589 nt
Filed under: Rhodotorula sp. BI240
Lineage: Eukaryota; Fungi; Basidiomycota; Microbotryomycetes; Sporidiobolales; Sporidiobolaceae
Description: eukaryotic LSU rRNA
Rfam family: Eukaryotic large subunit ribosomal RNA
Source: RNAcentral
UAAGCGGAGGAAAAGAAACUAACAAGGAUUCCCCUAGUAGCGGCGAGCGAAGCGGGAAGAGCUCAAAUUUGUAAUCUGGUACCUUCGGUGCCCGAGUUGUAAUCUCGAGAAGUGUUUUCCGUGCCAGACCGCAUACAAGUCUGUUGGAAUACAGCGUCAUAGUGGUGAGAACCCCGUAGAUGAUGCGGAUGCCUGGUGCUCUGUGAUACACUUUCGAAGAGUCGAGUUGUUUGGGAAUGCAGCUCAAAUUGGGUGGUAAAUUCCAUCUAAAGCUAAAUAUUGGCGAGAGACCGAUAGCGAACAAGUACCGUGAGGGAAAGAUGAAAAGCACUUUGGAAAGAGAGUUAACAGUACGUGAAAUUGUUGGAAGGGAAACGCUUGAAGUCAGACUUGCGCUUUGGAGUUCAGCCUCACGGUGUAUUCUUCGAUUUGCAGGCCAGCAUCAGUUUUUGGGGGUAAAAAAGGGUUUAGAGAAUGUGGCAACUCCGGUUGUGUUAUAGCUCUUGACUGGAUUUAUCCCUGGGGACUGAGGAACGCAGUACACUUUUUGCAAGUCUCUCGGGACUUUUUGUACUUAGGAUGCUGGUGG